GGGCGUAAAGAGCUCGUAGGCGGUUUGUCGCGUCUGCUGUGAAAUCCCGAGGCUCAACCUCGGGUCUGCAGUGGGUACGGGCAGACUAGAGUGUGGUAGGGGAGAUUGGAAUUCCUGGUGUAGCGGUGGAAUGCGCAGAUAUCAGGAGGAACACCGAUGGCGAAGGCAGAUCUCUGGGCCAUUACUGACGCUGAGGAGCGAAAGCAUGGGGAGCGAACAGGAUUAGAUACCCUGGUAGUCCAUGCCGUAAACGUUGGGCGCUAGAUGUGGGGACCAUUCCACGGUUUCCGUGUCGUAGCUAACGCAUUAAGCGCCCCGCCUGGGGAGUACGGCCGCAAGGCUAAAACUCAAAGGAAUUGACGGGGGCCCGCACAAGCGGCGGAGCAUGCGGAUUAAUUCGAUGCAACGCGAAGAACCUUACCAAGGCUUGACAUAUACCGGAAACGUUCAGAAAUGUUCGCCCCGCAAGGUCGGUAUACAGGUGGUGCAUGGUUGUCGUCAGCUCGUGUCGUGAGAUGUUGGGUUAAGUCCCGCAACGAGCGCAACCCUCGUCGUAUGUUGCCAGCACGUAAUGGUGGGAACUCAUAUGAGACUGCCGGGGUCAACUCGGAGGAAGGUGGGGAUGACGUCAAAUCAUCAUGCCCCUUAUGUCUUGGGCUUCACGCAUGCUACAAUGGCUGGUACAAUGGGCUGCAAUACCGCGAGGUGGAGCGAAUCCCAAAAAGCCAGUCUCAGUUCGGAUUGGGGUCUGCAACUCGACCCCAUGAAGUCGGAGUCGCUAGUAAUCGCAGAUCAGCAACGCUGCGGUGAAUAC
RNAcentral lists this ribosomal RNA (814 nucleotides) under actinomycete N2D4.UGM050509-02. RNAcentral describes it as "bacterial SSU rRNA". It matches the Rfam family "Bacterial small subunit ribosomal RNA", at positions 556 to 1369 of the family's 1533-position model. Lineage: Bacteria; Bacillati; Actinomycetota; Actinomycetes; Actinomycetales. The record is from RNAcentral.